CAAAAACAUUUCCUCCUGGUUUAGGAGGUAAGGCCUGCUCACUGAAUAUUUAAAGAGCCGCAGUAUCCUAACUGUGCUAAGGUAGCAUAAUCAUUUGUCUUUUAAUUGGAGACUGGUAUGAAUGGCUAAACGAGAAAUUAACUUUUUUUGUUAUAUAAAUUGAACUUAAUUUUUCAGUGAAAAAGCUGAAAUUUUUCAGAAAGACGAGAAGACCCUAUAGAGUUUUAUGUCUCUAAAUAUAUUAUCUAAUUUGAUUUUUAUAGAUUUCAUAUUAAAGGACAUUUUGUUGGGGCGACAUUAAGAUAUAAAAAACUCUUUAUUUUCAAAAUUUUUAUAAAAAUUUUGCUUGAUCCUCUAAAAGAGAUCAAAAGAAAAAAUUACCUUAGGGAUAACAGCGUAAUCUUUUUUGAGAGUUCUAAUCGACAAAAAGGUUUGCGACCUCGAUGUUGGACUAAAAUUUAGGCAGGGUGCAGCAGUUCUGCUUUUAGGUCUGUUCGACCUAUAAUA
Molecule: ribosomal RNA, 507 nt
Filed under: Semibalanus balanoides (northern acorn barnacle)
Lineage: Eukaryota; Metazoa; Arthropoda; Thecostraca; Balanomorpha; Balanidae
Description: partial 16S ribosomal RNA
Rfam family: Bacterial large subunit ribosomal RNA
Source: RNAcentral